GGUUAAGCGACUAAGCGUACACGGUGGAUGCCCUGGCAGUCAGAGGCGAUGAAGGACGUGCUAAUCUGCGAUAAGCGUCGGUAAGGUGAUAUGAACCGUUAUAACCGGCGAUUUCCGAAUGGGGAAACCCAGUGUGUUUCGACACACUAUCAUUAACUGAAUCCAUAGGUUAAUGAGGCGAACCGGGGGAACUGAAACAUCUAAGUACCCCGAGGAAAAGAAAUCAACCGAGAUUCCCCCAGUAGCGGCGAGCGAACGGGGAGCAGCCCAGAGCCUGAAUCAGUAUGUGUGUUAGUGGAAGCGUCUGGAAAGGCGCGCGAUACAGGGUGACAGCCCCGUACACAAAAAUGCACAUGCUGUGAGCUCGAUGAGUAGGGCGGGACACGUGGUAUCCUGUCUGAAUAUGGGGGGACCAUCCUCCAAGGCUAAAUACUCCUGACUGACCGAUAGUGAACCAGUACCGUGAGGGAAAGGCGAAAAGAACCCCGGCGAGGGGAGUGAAAAAGAACCUGAAACCGUGUACGUACAAGCAGUGGGAGCACGCUUAGGCGUGUGACUGCGUACCUUUUGUAUAAUGGGUCAGCGACUUAUAUUCUGUAGCAAGGUUAACCGAAUAGGGGAGCCGAAGGGAAACCGAGUCUUAACUGGGCGUUAAGUUGCAGGGUAUAGACCCGAAACCCGGUGAUCUAGCCAUGGGCAGGUUGAAGGUUGGGUAACACUAACUGGAGGACCGAACCGACUAAUGUUGAAAAAUUAGCGGAUGACUUGUGGCUGGGGGUGAAAGGCCAAUCAAACCGGGAGAUAGCUGGUUCUCCCCGAAAGCUAUUUAGGUAGCGCCUCGUGAAUUCAUCUCCGGGGGUAGAGCACUGUUUCGGCAAGGGGGUCAUCCCGACUUACCAACCCGAUGCAAACUGCGAAUACCGGAGAAUGUUAUCACGGGAGACACACGGCGGGUGCUAACGUCCGUCGUGAAGAGGGAAACAACCCAGACCGCCAGCUAAGGUCCCAAAGUCAUGGUUAAGUGGGAAACGAUGUGGGAAGGCCCAGACAGCCAGGAUGUUGGCUUAGAAGCAGCCAUCAUUUAAAGAAAGCGUAAUAGCUCACUGGUCGAGUCGGCCUGCGCGGAAGAUGUAACGGGGCUAAACCAUGCACCGAAGCUGCGGCAGCGACACUAUGUGUUGUUGGGUAGGGGAGCGUUCUGUAAGCCUGUGAAGGUGUGCUGUGAGGCAUGCUGGAGGUAUCAGAAGUGCGAAUGCUGACAUAAGUAACGAUAAAGCGGGUGAAAAGCCCGCUCGCCGGAAGACCAAGGGUUCCUGUCCAACGUUAAUCGGGGCAGGGUGAGUCGACCCCUAAGGCGAGGCCGAAAGGCGUAGUCGAUGGGAAACAGGUUAAUAUUCCUGUACUUGGUGUUACUGCGAAGGGGGGACGGAGAAGGCUAUGUUGGCCGGGCGACGGUUGUCCCGGUUUAAGCGUGUAGGCUGGUUUUCCAGGCAAAUCCGGAAAAUCAAGGCUGAGGCGUGAUGACGAGGCACUACGGUGCUGAAGCAACAAAUGCCCUGCUUCCAGGAAAAGCCUCUAAGCAUCAGGUAACAUCAAAUCGUACCCCAAACCGACACAGGUGGUCAGGUAGAGAAUACCAAGGCGCUUGAGAGAACUCGGGUGAAGGAACUAGGCAAAAUGGUGCCGUAACUUCGGGAGAAGGCACGCUGAUAUGUAGGUGAAGUCCCUCGCGGAUGGAGCUGAAAUCAGUCGAAGAUACCAGCUGGCUGCAACUGUUUAUUAAAAACACAGCACUGUGCAAACACGAAAGUGGACGUAUACGGUGUGACGCCUGCCCGGUGCCGGAAGGUUAAUUGAUGGGGUUAGCGCAAGCGAAGCUCUUGAUCGAAGCCCCGGUAAACGGCGGCCGUAACUAUAACGGUCCUAAGGUAGCGAAAUUCCUUGUCGGGUAAGUUCCGACCUGCACGAAUGGCGUAAUGAUGGCCAGGCUGUCUCCACCCGAGACUCAGUGAAAUUGAACUCGCUGUGAAGAUGCAGUGUACCCGCGGCAAGACGGAAAGACCCCGUGAACCUUUACUAUAGCUUGACACUGAACAUUGAGCCUUGAUGUGUAGGAUAGGUGGGAGGCUUAGAAGUGUGGACGCCAGUCUGCAUGGAGCCGACCUUGAAAUACCACCCUUUAAUGUUUGAUGUUCUAACGUUGACCCGUAAUCCGGGUUGCGGACAGUGUCUGGUGGGUAGUUUGACUGGGGCGGUCUCCUCCUAAAGAGUAACGGAGGAGCACGAAGGUUGGCUAAUCCUGGUCGGACAUCAGGAGGUUAGUGCAAUGGCAUAAGCCAGCUUGACUGCGAGCGUGACGGCGCGAGCAGGUGCGAAAGCAGGUCAUAGUGAUCCGGUGGUUCUGAAUGGAAGGGCCAUCGCUCAACGGAUAAAAGGUACUCCGGGGAUAACAGGCUGAUACCGCCCAAGAGUUCAUAUCGACGGCGGUGUUUGGCACCUCGAUGUCGGCUCAUCACAUCCUGGGGCUGAAGUAGGUCCCAAGGGUAUGGCUGUUCGCCAUUUAAAGUGGUACGCGAGCUGGGUUUAGAACGUCGUGAGACAGUUCGGUCCCUAUCUGCCGUGGGCGCUGGAGAACUGAGGGGGGCUGCUCCUAGUACGAGAGGACCGGAGUGGACGCAUCACUGGUGUUCGGGUUGUCAUGCCAAUGGCACUGCCCGGUAGCUAAAUGCGGAAGAGAUAAGUGCUGAAAGCAUCUAAGCACGAAACUUGCCCCGAGAUGAGUUCUCCCUGACCCUUUAAGGGUCCUGAAGGAACGUUGAAGACGACGACGUUGAUAGGCCGGGUGUGUAAGCGCAGCGAUGCGUUGAGCUAACCGGUACUAAUGAACCGUGAGGCUUAACCUU
Molecule: ribosomal RNA, 2903 nt
Filed under: Escherichia coli 2.3916
Lineage: Bacteria; Pseudomonadati; Pseudomonadota; Gammaproteobacteria; Enterobacterales; Enterobacteriaceae
Description: bacterial LSU rRNA
Rfam family: Bacterial large subunit ribosomal RNA
Source: RNAcentral